GGUCCUGGAGGACAGGGGGCUGGACUAGGAGCUGGAGGUCUGGGAGGAGGAGGUCUUAGACCAGGAGUCAGACCAGGAGGUUAUGGACCAGGUGGAGCUGGGGCUGGACCAGGUGGUUAUGGGCCUAGUGCUGGUCUUAGUCAGGGCGGAGCUGUGGCUGGAGGUCUUGGUGGUGGUUACGGACUUGGCGGUGGUCUAGGUGCCGGAGGCCUUGGAGCAGGAGCUGGAGGAAAGCCAGAGAAGGCAGGAGCUGGCUACGGUGGUAGAGAUCCUGGAGGACAGGGGGCUGGACUGGGUGUUGGAGGUUUUGGACCAGGUGGCUAUGGACCAGGUGGAGCUGGUGCUGGACCAGGUGGCUAUGGGCUUGGUGUUGGUCUUGGUCCUGGGGGAGCUGGUCCUGGAGUUUUUGCUGGUGGUUAUG
Salvelinus fontinalis (brook trout) is the source of this 421-nucleotide long non-coding RNA. RefSeq lists it as uncharacterized. Lineage: Eukaryota; Metazoa; Chordata; Actinopteri; Salmoniformes; Salmonidae. The transcript has 3 exons. The record is from RefSeq and is a predicted model, not a curated record.